GGGCCCGUAGCGCAGUUGGGAGCGCGUCUCAAUCGCACUGAGAAGGUCGCGGGUUCAAGUCCCGCCGGGUCCA
This 73-nucleotide transfer RNA is filed under the name Chloroflexota bacterium. Its description in RNAcentral is "Chloroflexi bacterium (hydrothermal vent metagenome) tRNA-Ala". It matches the Rfam family "tRNA". Rfam says of the family: Transfer RNA (tRNA) molecules are approximately 80 nucleotides in length. Lineage: Bacteria; Bacillati; Chloroflexota. The record is from RNAcentral.